CCAGAUCAGCUUCUUUCACCUAGGAGGGAAAAUACCUGCUGACAGCCCCCAAGCCUCAAUCCCUCCACCCUUGCCACUGGCAAACUGCGGUUGAGGUUUAGGUUGCCUGCCUUGGCAAUCCUGGCUGUCCUCACAGAAGGGCAUGUGAACCGCCAGCCUGGCUGUCUUUUUCGUUGGGUUGGCUCUGCAGUGGAGGCUGGCGGAUGAGCAAGUGAUGAGCCCGCCCUUGCUGGCCGUGCAGUUUGGCUCUGUCAUGCUCUUGGCCAUUGAAUCGGCCUAAUGCAGCCCUCAGUAGCCAGCCUGGUGUUCCCGGGGGCUGAGAAUCUAGUGUCAACAGGGCACAAUUCGAUUCACAUUAAAAAUGGGUAUUAAGCCUUUUUA
Molecule: non-coding RNA, 381 nt
Organism: Saimiri boliviensis boliviensis (Bolivian squirrel monkey)
Lineage: Eukaryota; Metazoa; Chordata; Mammalia; Primates; Cebidae
Source: RefSeq, a predicted model, not a curated record